Molecule: ribosomal RNA, 274 nt
Filed under: uncultured bacterium
Lineage: Bacteria
Description: partial 16S ribosomal RNA
Rfam family: Bacterial small subunit ribosomal RNA
Source: RNAcentral
CUACGGAGGGGGUUAGCGUUGUUCGGAAUUACUGGGCGUAAAGCGCACGUAGGCGGAUUGGAAAGUUGGGGGUGAAAUCCCAGGGCUCAACCCUGGAACUGCCUCCAAAACUAACAGUCUAGAGUUCGAGAGAGGUGAGUGGAAUUCCAAGUGUAGAGGUGAAAUUCGUAGAUAUUUGGAGGAACACCAGUGGCGAAGGCGGCUCACUGGCUCGAUACUGACGCUGAGGUGCGAAAGCGUGGCGAGCAAACAGGAUUAGAAACCCUAGUAGUCC